RNAcentral lists this ribosomal RNA (497 nucleotides) under uncultured bacterium. RNAcentral describes it as "partial 16S ribosomal RNA". It matches the Rfam family "Bacterial small subunit ribosomal RNA", at positions 28 to 507 of the family's 1533-position model. The record is from RNAcentral.
GAUGAACGCUGGCGGCGUGCCUAAUACAUGCAAGUAGAACGCUGAAGGAAGGAGCUUGCUCUUUCCGGAUGAGUUGCGAACGGGUGAGUAACGCGUAGGUAACCUGCCUGGUAGCGGGGGAUAACUAUUGGAAACGAUAGCUAAUACCGCAUAACAGUAGAUGUUGCAUGAUAUCUACUUAAAAGGUGCAAUUGCACCACUACCAGAUGGACCUGCGUUGUAUUAGCUAGUUGGUGAGGUAACGGCUCACCAAGGCGACGAUACAUAGCCGACCUGAGAGGGUGAUCGGCCACACUGGGACUGAGACACGGCCCAGACUCCUACGGGAGGCAGCAGUAGGGAAUCUUCGGCAAUGGACGGAAGUCUGACCGAGCAACGCCGCGUGAGUGAAGAAGGUUUUCGGAUCGUAAAGCUCUGUUAUAAGAGAAGAACGAGUGUGAGAGUGGAAAGUUCACACUGUGACGGUAUCUUACCAGAAAGGGACGGCUAACUACGUG